Hermetia illucens (black soldier fly) is the source of this 450-nucleotide long non-coding RNA. RefSeq lists it as uncharacterized. The transcript is spliced from 2 exons. Lineage: Eukaryota; Metazoa; Arthropoda; Insecta; Diptera; Stratiomyidae. The record is from RefSeq and is a predicted model, not a curated record.
AAUAUUUCAUUUAAUUGCGUCAGUUUUACUAAAGUUUGUAGACUGUUUCAUUAAAUUAAUUGUGUUUUAUAUUUUUAAUUUUAUUUGAUUAUUUUUAUUUAAUGUUUUACCUGAAUUUUAAUAUAUCUUCACUAAUCCAAAGAAAUAAACCGGCUCAUUCCAAUCUCGGGUUUCAUCCACCACGAGAUAAAGGGACUUAUACCUACUACCGAUUAAAGAAGAUAUUACGAGACGUAUUUGCAUGUCCCUUUGAAGAGGUGCCACUUUCGAAGAGGCAACUAACUGAGAAUAGAUUUACACACAAGAUAUUGAAACGUUUAGAGCGACAUCCUACGACAAAGUUUUGAGGAGUAGCUUUUUAGAAUUAAAUAUAUUUAUUUUAAAAACCUUUUCAUGUCUAGUUUGAUGGUAAUUAAUUUUAUUUAAUAAAUUUAUUAAAUUUUAGAUGAA